UGGGGAAUAUUGGGCAAUGGGCGAAAGCCUGACCCAGCAACGCCGCGUGAGGGAAGAAGGUUUUCGGAUUGUAAACCUCUGUCCUAAGUGACGAAGAAAGUGACGGUAGCUUAGGAGGAAGCCCCGGCUAACUACGUGCCAGCAGCCGCGGUAAUACGUAGGGGGCGAGUGUUGUUCGGAAUGACUGGGCGUAAAGGGCGCGUAGGCGGCCGGGUAAGUUGGGAGUGAAAUUCCUGCUGUUAAGGUGGGAACUGCUUUCAAAACUGCCUGGCUUGAGUGCGGAAGAGGUAAGUGGAAUUCCCAGUGUAGCGGUGAAAUGCGUAGAGAUUGGGAGGAACACCAGUGGCGAAGGCGACUUACUGGGCCGUAACUGACGCUGAUGCGCGAAAGCGUGGGGAGCAAACA
Molecule: ribosomal RNA, 405 nt
Filed under: uncultured prokaryote
Description: bacterial SSU rRNA
Rfam family: Bacterial small subunit ribosomal RNA
Source: RNAcentral